GUGAGGAAUAUUGCACAAUGGAGGAAACUCUGAUGCAGCAACGCCGCGUGGAGGAUGACGCAUUUCGGUGUGUAAACUCCUUUUAAGAGGGAAGAUAAUGACGGUACCUCUUGAAUAAGCACCGGCUAACUCCGUGCCAGCAGCCGCGGUAAUACGGAGGGUGCAAGCGUUACUCGGAAUCACUGGGCGUAAAGGGUGCGUAGGCUGGCUUUUAAGUCAGGUGUGAAAUCCAAUGGCUCAACCAUUGAACUGCACUUGAAACUGAGAGCCUAGAGUUCAGAAGGGGCAGAUGGAAUUAGUGGUGUAGGGGUAAAAUCCGUAGAUAUCACUAGGAAUAUCAAAAGCGAAGGCGAUCUGCUGGGAUGAUACUGACGCUGAGGCACGAAAGCGUGGGGAGCAACAGGAUUAGAAACCCGGGUAGUCC
RNAcentral lists this ribosomal RNA (424 nucleotides) under uncultured bacterium. RNAcentral's name for it is "bacterial SSU rRNA". It matches the Rfam family "Bacterial small subunit ribosomal RNA", at positions 354 to 796 of the family's 1533-position model. The record is from RNAcentral.